RNAcentral lists this non-coding RNA (755 nucleotides) under Occasjapyx japonicus. Its description in RNAcentral is "12S ribosomal RNA". The stretch from base 347 to 750 matches the Rfam family "Microsporidia small subunit ribosomal RNA", at positions 752 to 1303 of the family's 1311-position model. The record is from RNAcentral. Lineage: Eukaryota; Metazoa; Arthropoda; Diplura; Dicellurata; Japygidae.
GCUUUCAAAGUUUGAUUCUUGCUUAGACGUUAAUUGCACACUUAAUUUCACAUGCAAUGCGCUUUUAACACUUGUAGUUUGCAGUGUUUAAUUUUAGUCUCUAAGGGAUCUUAGGUCUAGUUAGUGGUUAGAGCCGGCUAAAUUCGUGCCAGCCGCCGCGGUUAUACGGCGGGCUCAUAUUAACGUUAUUGGGUGUUUGUGGUUAUAUGUUAUAUGUUUGAUUUUAGAAUGGUUUGGUUAGGGAGGUGGAAUUUUCACUCUUUGUUAGGUCUAUGUUUAUUGUUAAUUUCCCUUAAGAUGGUUAGUAAGACCAGGAUUAGAUACCCUGUUAUUCCAUUGUGGGCCUGGGUAGUAAAAGCUAUUGGCUUCAAACCCAAAGAAUUUGGCGGCACUUCAGUCCUUUUAGAGGAACUUGUCCCAUAAUCGAUAAUCCACGAUUACUGGUACCUUUGCUUGUAAACUCAGUUUGUAUACCGCCGUCGUUGACUACUUCUUGAGUUGGUUUUCUGUCUUGCAUGUUCUGUUGAAUGACAGGUCAAGGUGCAGCUUAUGCAUUGUGGGGUGAUGAGUUACAUUGGUUUUAACCACACGGAUCAAUUACUGUAUAGUUUUGGUGAAGGUGGAUUUGAUAGUAAUUUCUUCACUUUAGGGGAGGUGAAUUUGGCUCUGGGGUGUGUACAUAUCGCCCGUCGCUCUCGCUAUAAGGUGAGAUAAGUCGUAACAUAGUAAAGGUACUGGAAAGUGCCUCUAGUAGG